ACACCUCAACUCUCAUGGCUUGCCGUGAUGAGCUUGGACUGUGGGGGUUUUGCUGGCCAGUGUCGGCUCCUCUCAAAUGAAUCAGCUUGCCAGUGUUUGGUGGCAUCACAGGUGUGAUAACUAUCUACGCUUGUGGUUUUCCACCAGGUUACCUUCGGCAACGGAGGUCCACUGGGGCUCAUAAACGUCUCUCCUCGGUGAGGACAGCUCUUUGAAC
Molecule: unclassified non-coding RNA, 217 nt
Filed under: uncultured Thelephoraceae
Lineage: Eukaryota; Fungi; Basidiomycota; Agaricomycetes; Thelephorales; Thelephoraceae
Description: sequence contains ITS2
Source: RNAcentral